GGAAUUGACGGGGACCCGCACAAGCAGCGGAGCGUGUGGUUUAAUUCGUUGCUACACGAAGAACCUUACCUGGGUUUGACAUAUAGGUUGUAGGGAACUGAAAGGGACCGACCUUCGGGGAGCCUAUACAGGUGUUGCAUGGCUGUCGUCAGCUCGUGUCGUGAGAUGUUCGGUUAAGUCCGCUAACGAGCGCAACCCUCGUCGUAUGUUAUAUGUGUCAUACGAGACUGCCGGUAAAAGCCGGAGGAAGGUGAGGAUGAUGUCAAGUCAGCAUGACCUUUAUAUCCAGGGCUACACACACGCUACAAUGGUCUGUACAAUGGGUAGCCAAGCCGCGAGGCGGAGCCAAUCCUGAAAGCAGGCCUCAGUUCAGAUUGCAGUCUGCAACUCGACUGCAUGAAGCCGGAGUUGCUAGUAACCGCAGGUCAGCAAUACUGCGGUGAAUACGUUCCCGGGUCUU
Molecule: ribosomal RNA, 460 nt
Filed under: uncultured Anaerolineaceae bacterium
Lineage: Bacteria; Bacillati; Chloroflexota; Anaerolineae; Anaerolineales; Anaerolineaceae
Description: bacterial SSU rRNA
Rfam family: Bacterial small subunit ribosomal RNA
Source: RNAcentral